UCCAGCUCAGCUGUCCCAUGCCCUUAAUUAGUCAGAGAUGUUUGUUAAAGCUUUUUAUUGCAUGAAUAGUUUAUCCUCUUGACGUCGAGGUUAAAUGAUUUUAUUUUACCUCCCUGUAAGGUCAAGUUUAACACCAAGCCGUAACCAGCCAGUCGUUCUAUGAGUGACGCCUUCAGAACAAUACAGCACUCUGACAUAUGUUCACCCUCCUCUGACACUCCAUUUAUCAAAAACAAGAACAGGGUAUGUAUUUGCAUUUGCUGUCAGACAGUCAAUGUUUGAGUCUUUGACAGAGCUGUAGACGAUCCUGUCAGUGCUGUUUCAAUGCUUAAAAUCUCAGCUAUGAUCAUGGUGCCUCUCCAGUGGCAGUCCUGUUACGGUACAAUGCUGCUGGGAAGCCUCGGAUCAUUCGUGUCCCGUUUGCUUUGACGCAGCACUGUUGCACACUAAGGACUUCCCCCGUGACAACUUCCUCCAGCGGGACAAUGCGCCAUGCCACUCCACAGAAAAAUCCUCAGUAAUGGCUCGAGAAGCACGACAAAAAGCCCGAGGCAUCGACCCAGCCUCCAAAGUCCCCAGAUCCCAGUCCAAUCAAGCAUCAGCUUGAAGCUCAGGAGCUACCCCAAUCCACUGAGGCCCCGCCCACUGCCCCGAGUAUCUGACUCCAGGAAAACCCUUAGUUCAAAACUCUGAGGGCCACAGCUGCAUUAGGUAAUCCUACAGUGAAUUGCAGCACACACCUAUCUAUCUACAUAUGUAUGCAUCCUAUUGCGUCUGCAGUCUCUGAGUCAAACACACACCAGUUAAAUUAAGAAGAGAGAGUAAACAAACCCUAAUUAUUACAAGCAUGCUCAUGCUGUGGAUGUAGGCGAACACAUGCAUGUGUGCACGCAGCGAGCAGCAAGUAUCUGAGGACCACCUGCAGUACAUCUGUGUUAUGGCUGCCAGAGGCUGCAUUACAUCAACUCCCGUCUCCAUCCACCCUCCUCCCCUCUCCGCUCUCUCUGAUGUCCACACAAACACAACCUUUAUGCACGCUAGCGUGAUGUUCAAUCGCAUCACCCUCUGCACGCAUACACCCCCCAACCCCCAAGACUAAUACCACCUCAUGCCACCCACGAGCCUCUUUCUCCACACAGCUGCAGAGCUGGUCUAGACCCCUGUUUCUAUAAAUAGCAAGCAGCACCCAAAUCUAACACUGCCAGCCAAUUGUGCAUUGAGCAGCUAUGUCUCCAAAUACGGAUCAACACAGAGAAGCAGCACGGGAUGUUUCUGAUCUACAUGUGACUACAACAUAAAGGUGCUACGCUGAUAAUUUUGUGGAGCUCAGUGUGCACGAGAUAAAUAAGUAACACGUCAGCUUUCCUCUGCUUCUCAGUCAUUAGCAACCACUAAUGUACCAAAAGCUAACUAGCGUCUCAGUUAAGCCAGCACCGACCUUGUUAUUGACACCUCUAAUGAUAACCAUCAUCACCUCAAUAUUGCAUUAAAUCAGCUCAAACUAAUUAUCAUAAAUGUCACAAGCAGCUGAGUGAAAAGUAAACAAGUGGUGUGAUUAACAUGGACCUGCAUGCUGUGUGUGUCCUUUGGCAAACCUCCCUGUGCAGCACUGACCCGCAGCGCUCGCGGGGAUCGUGUGUGCUGAGACACCAACAGCAGCAAAAUGCUCUCAGACCCUGAACAAAGCUAUUAUUUUUGGAGACACGGGGUAUAAGGUACAUAAAUUCAGAUUUCACAGCCGAAUGUACGACUAAGAAGUUAUUUUGUUCACGCGUCGUCUGAAAAAUGACCUCCGAAAAAUAGAGUUAGGACAUAAAAAUAGCAGAAUCAACAAGGCCGAGCAGUUCCUAACAACCACCACAGAAACUCUGCAUGUGCUCAUAUCUGCCACUCUGCUUUAGACAGAUCAGCGUCACAGGGUGCCGUGUGGAUCCGUUUCUCUGACUUUAAAGACUCAAUGCUUCAUCCCUUCAUUAAGCAGCAUGGCAGCAUCACCGAGGACCCGACUGAUCUAAUGAGUCAUGCAUUAACCAGACGCUACAUUGUGAUGGUGCUUGGAUACAUUUAUUGACACAAGGAAAUCGCAUGGGGAGCUUUGCACACGGCUCACGAGUAAAUGGAGGAAGUGAUGGAGAGGCCACUUGUGAUGUGCAGUUUGAGGCGAGAGCUCUGACAAGUGGUGAAUAAUACAUAGAGAGAGUUGUAUGUGAGCAGACAGCAGAGGAAGGCAGAAGAAAGAGAAGUGACAAGAGAAGCACCGUGCACACAGGAGGUCACGUCUCUAACUGUGUUUCUGUUGUCAGAUCUCAGGGGUACUCUACGGUGGCCCUGAGAGGUCAAACACAGUGCAACGAGCAAACAGAAAAAUGCUGCAAACGCACACUGAACACAGCUGAAGUGUUUCUGGGGACGAGAUAACGAGACGGACCAGCUGCAGAAGUGACAGAAAACGUGAAGGAUGGCAGCGACACACUUUAAUGAAGCGGCGUUGUCUUUGAAUCACAUGAUUCUCGUGGGUCAGGCUGUCAAACUGAUCUUAUAGGUUAGAAUGAAGAAUGAAACUGAGGUUAAAGGACCGACUGCAACCAUGUUUGAACUGAAUAUACGAGCAGGCAAACGUGUUAUGUGGCCGCAGUAAUCAGUGACCUCGUCGGGACACACGAAUCCUGUUGUGCCUGAGAAAGAUUUCAUAAUUACAGGUUAUUAAAUCUUGGCUGGUUUUGUUUGGUAAACACAGCAAAGAUGCUGUUGCUACACGUUGAAACCUUGACCUUAAAAACCAAACGCUGCUCUGUAAUUAAAAAACUGGCAUUAACAGUGAAUGGCCUCGUCCGUGCGCAGAGUCCGGCCCAGAAUCUUUUAUCGAUGUUUCUGUACAAAUUAGUCUGACUUUGUUUGAAACAUGAAGUUCAUAAGUUUUGAAGCUUUUUGUACGAAGCCGUGUUUUAUGCAGAUAUUUAUAUUGAUUUAAAAAAUGGAGCGCAGCAGCUGUUAUUAUGAAAAAGAACUGAACUGAAGGCCUGCACGUCACAGAAAAUGACUCGAGAUCAAUGAAGCCCACACUCAGCUGUGAUUUAAAAUUCAAAUUGGAGUAUUUCAGCGCUCCCGUGGCAAUACUGUAUGCAAAUCCAUAAGGCCGAAUCAAUCCUGAAUUACAUAACUGGCCUGGUUGAAGCAUAUCUGCUUUAUAAUCAAGCCAGAGAUUUCAGAGCUUUUAAUAAACACCUCAUUAAACAAACCAACAGGAAAGGAUGUGAAAUUAGCAGCUGGUGGAAGCACAGUUAGAAGCAUGUCAGACUGCAAAGGUUAUGAACUCCUUGCACAUACUGCUCGCCCCGUGUGUUGCCCUUGUACAUACAAUUAGUUCAUCUGCAUCACCCAGGUGUUGUAGCACCUGUCCCCUCCGGCUAGUGUCACCAUGACAGACAGCAGCGCAGAGAAACGUGUCACAGUCUUCCACACCAAUUUACUUUACACAUCAGUCCUCAAGUCUGAGAUAUGAAUUCUUAUCUUUAGUCUUUGAAUUAAAAAUAGUUACACUGAAUAUCUAAUAUACAGCAAUAUUCUAAAAAUAGAGGAAUUUAUCUUCUUAACACAGCUGCAUCUCUUUGGUUUCACGUCACUGGACAGAUAUCAGGUCAUAGCAGCUUUCAGAGACUCUCUCUGCUUCUGAAGCCAGAUCAGAUUCUCCACCUGAGCACAUUCCUUCUGUUUGCUGUGAAAAGCAUUAAGCAGACAUGACGUAAUGGCACAUAAAGAGUGUGAAACGGAUCAGUUUCACAGCAGCGAUAACC
Long non-coding RNA from Oreochromis niloticus (Nile tilapia), 3794 nucleotides. RefSeq lists it as uncharacterized. Lineage: Eukaryota; Metazoa; Chordata; Actinopteri; Cichliformes; Cichlidae. The record is from RefSeq and is a predicted model, not a curated record. The transcript is spliced from 3 exons.